This 508-nucleotide ribosomal RNA is filed under the name uncultured bacterium. RNAcentral describes it as "partial 16S ribosomal RNA". It matches the Rfam family "Bacterial small subunit ribosomal RNA", at positions 28 to 507 of the family's 1533-position model. The record is from RNAcentral.
GACGAACGCUGGCGGCGUGCCUAAUACAUGCAAGUCGAACGCUUCUUUCCUCCCGAGUGCUUGCACUCAAUUGGAAAGAGGAGUGGCGGACGGGUGAGUAACACGUGGGUAACCUACCCAUCAGAGGGGGAUAACACUUGGAAACAGGUGCUAAUACCGCAUAACAGUUUAUGCCGCAUGGCAUAAGAGUGAAAGGCGCUUUCGGGUGUCGUUGAUGGAUGGACCCGCGGUGCAUUAGCUAGUUGGGGAGGUAACGGCUCACCAAGGCCACGAUGCAUAGCCGACCUGAGAGGGUGAUCGGCCACACUGGGACUGAGACACGGCCCAGACUCCUACGGGAGGCAGCAGUAGGGAAUCUUCGGCAAUGGACGAAAGUCUGACCGAGCAACGCCGCGUGAGUGAAGAAGGUUUUCGGAUCGUAAAACUCUGUUGUUAGAGAAGAACAAGGACGUUAGUAACUGAACGUCCCCUGACGGUAUCUAACCAGAAAGCCACGGCUAACUACGUG